GAUGGAAUUGCGUCAGUGCAUGAAAUGUCACAGACAGUUUUGCUUUGAAAACGGCAGCAGGCACAAGUCUUUCAUUGAAGGAGGGAUCCAAAUCUGGCCAGAAUACAGACAUGUAUCUUUUGAGUUCAGCAGGGCGGCACAUCAGCUGAACGCUCGUGUUUAGAUGACCAGGGCCAGCGGGCACCUCUCGGGGGGACCAUCACACCAGCUUUGAGAAGAUGAUCGUGUUGAACACUUGUUGUGGUGAUUAUGAUUAUGGUUUCCUGUACACUUCCCCCAUCUACCACUGGCUGGAUGCUUUGCCCCAAAUUGGUUUAACCAGAAGCUGCUGUCAAACCCAAUGGAGCAAGAAUUGGAUUUUUACUUGUACAACUUUAAAGAUUUUUUUUCAUAUUUUUGUAUGACUUUU
Long non-coding RNA from Onychostoma macrolepis, 409 nucleotides. RefSeq lists it as uncharacterized. The transcript has 4 exons. NCBI's taxonomy places the organism in Eukaryota, Metazoa, Chordata, Actinopteri, Cypriniformes, Cyprinidae. The record is from RefSeq and is a predicted model, not a curated record.